GACGAACGCUGGCGGCGUGCCUAAUACAUGCAAGUCGAACGAAGCUGUUUUAACUGGUGCUUGCACCGACUUAAACAACUGAGUGGCGAACGGGUGAGUAACACGUGGGUAACCUGCCCCAAAGCGGGGGAUAACAUUUGGAAACAGAUGCUAAUACCGCAUAACCACAGAAACCACAUGGUUUCUGUGUCAAAGAUGGUUUCGGCUAUCACUUUGGGAUGGACCUGCGGGGGAUUAGCUAGUUGGUAAGGUAAUGGCUUACCAAGGCAAUGAUACGUAGCCGAACUGAGAGGUUGAUCGGCCACAUUGGGACUGAGACACGGCCCAACUCCUACGGGAGGCAGCAGUAGGGAAUCUUCCACAAUGGACGAAAGUCUGAUGGAGCAACGCCGCGUGAGUGAAGAAGGUUUUCGGAUCGUAAAACUCUGUUGUCAGAGAAGAACGUGUGCGAGAGUAACUGCUCGUGCAGUGACGGUAUCUGGCCAGAAAGCCACGGCUAACUACGUGCCAGCCGCCGCGGUAA
This 523-nucleotide ribosomal RNA is filed under the name uncultured bacterium. RNAcentral's name for it is "partial 16S ribosomal RNA". It matches the Rfam family "Bacterial small subunit ribosomal RNA", at positions 28 to 523 of the family's 1533-position model. The record is from RNAcentral.